Homo sapiens (human) is the source of this 4315-nucleotide long non-coding RNA. Ensembl annotates it as small nucleolar RNA host gene 14. Its record names the gene SNHG14. Lineage: Eukaryota; Metazoa; Chordata; Mammalia; Primates; Hominidae. The record is from Ensembl.
UUUUUUUUUUUUUUUUUUCAGAGUAUUUUCUUUCUUGUCCAGAUUAGCUAAAUUGGAUUGUUCUAUGCUAAAUUCACUUAAUCACUACUCUAUUAUUUUUGAAUUUUUUAGUUCUGUUUUUUUCACUUGGUUCUUUUUUUAAAAAAACUUCUACUACCUUUCUGAGACUUCUACUUUUUUACUUUUUUCAAGAAGCUUUAUAAUUACUUGCUAAAGCAUUUUUACCAUGACUGUUUUUAACUUCUUCAGAUAACCACAACAUUUGGUUAAUCUUGAGGUUGGCUUGGUUAACUGUCUUUUCUCAUCCUGCUUAUGAUUUUCCUUCUAAUUGUGAUUUUUCCGGUUCUUGAUAGAUGGGUGAUGUUUUAGUUUAUCCUGCAUUUUUUUUUCCUUUUUAAGUUAGAGGAAUCUGAAUCUAUUCAAAUGUUUUAUUUUAGCAGGCAUGUGCCCUGUUUAGGUUUAAUUUGAAUGUCCUGUCCUACUUUUGUAGGCCAUGUUUUCGCAGGCAGUCUUGCUAUCAGAGCUGAGGGGAUGCUGUUUUGAUCACUUAGUUUAUCUGAUGUUGCUGGGCCUCCAACUGGUGCUGACUGGUACUUCCUGAGAUGGCGAAGGUUUUUCUGUACUCUGAGAUGCCGUGUAUCUCUAUGUAAGGGGAGGAGACUCUGGACCACAGGAAUGAAGAGAACAUCUUAGGUCAGGCAGCUCAAUCAUAUGCGAUAACCUGGGUCAACCAGCCAGUAGCCUCAUGAAGUAUGGGAGGGAAUUCUCCAGUGUCAGCAUUCAAAGACAUCAUGAGUUUUUACUUCUCAUUUUCUUUUAAGUGAAAUAAUCGCAUGGAAAUUAAAGAAUAAAUAUAUGAAAUAUAUGAAACUUAUAUGAAAUAUAAGAAUGUGAGAAGGCCUACAGCGUGGGGAUCCCCAGGCUAUUUGAACAAUGAAUGUCUGUGUUACACAUCUUUGCUCACUUUUUCUCUAUUUUUGUAGUUCAUUGUGGAACCAGCACAGAUUUUCAUACGAAAGUUAUUUCUUUUUAACCUCAAAAAGUGACAGAAUGGAGUGUAUCAUGAAAAAGUCUGACAUCAAAACCUCAAAAUGUGAUAUUGAUUGGGUGAGAUAGAAUUCCAUGGAAUUUCAUUGCCAAACCAGUGAAGUGCUAAUUUUGACAUUUGUACCAGCUAACGUAGCUGUGAAGAAACACACCAAUACACUUCUAAGGACAGCAUAGACCAAGAUCUAGGUUUCAUAUGGAUGAAUUUAUUCUUCCCUUUGAGGCAAGACAAGAAGGAAAGAAAGUAUUGGGAAUAAUGCUGCCCUCCCAUCCUCAAGGGCCAGUGGGAACUCUAAUAUUGAUUGGUUUUCACAGAAUUCCAUGGACUUUAACUGCUGAACCAAUGAUGCACUGAUUUUGUCACUUGUACCAGCUAACGCAUCUGGGAGGCAACAAAACAAUACUCUCCUGAGGUUAAUGUGGACCAAAAACUAGAUUUCAUAUAAAAGAGUUUAUUCCUUCUACUUGAGGUGUGACAUGAAGGAAAGUAAUGGAAAUAAUUCUGCCCUCCCAUUCUCAAGGGCCAGGGGGAAUUCAAAUAUUGAACGGAAGUGAUUUUGGAAUUGCAUGGAAUUCUCACUGCCAUCCCAAAGAAAUGCUGAUCUUGUCACUCUUACCUGUUUCAUUCCCUGGGGGCAGAACAAAAGGACGCACUCCAAAGAUCGGCAUGAACCAAGAACUGGGUUUCAUAUAAAAUAUUUUAUUCUGUCCUCUUGAGAUGUGACAUGAGAAAAGUAUUGAGAAUACUUCUAUCACCUCAUCUUCAAGAAUCCGUAGGAAUUCUCCCAUGGUGGACUUUACGGUUAACCUGAACAGGUCUUGGAAAAAGGACUUUAAACAUUCUCCUGUUCUGUGGAAUAAGUAUACUUUUUUCUGGACAUACACCUUGUCAGUUCCAUGUGAUACUAGAGUUGCAUAGAUUUUUAACCUUUACGCCAAUGAAGAUCUGAGGCAAACAUUGCCCCUUUUUUAGAAGUUUGCAUUUGUCACUGAUAACUGUAAUAAUUGAUCUUGUUGAAAAGCCUGGGAAAUGAAGAUCUGAUAUGUCACUUUUACCGGCUUCCUCAACUGAAAAAGAAUACAAUGAAACACGCUGAGAAUUUUUGUGCUUUCUCAGUCUUGCUGAUGAUCUUUCUAUGGGCCUGAAGCGUGGAGAGUGCCAGAGAGGCUGAUCCUCAGCAGUGUGGCAGAGGAAAGUUGGGUGCGACUAAGGGGUAUGCGGUGCCCACAUGCCACUGGGUCCUCAGCAGUACCACCUGAUUGGAAGUGAUAUUGGUGGAAGACAACAUUUUGCCGCUUGGAAUUCUCACCUCCACACCAAAGAAGUACUGUUUUUGUCAUUUGCACCAGCUUCUUUCUCCAGGAAAGAUCAAAACGAUGCACUGCAAGGUUAACAUCCAAUUUUUAAUACAUGUAAUUCCCUGGAUUAUUUUUGUUGUGUUAUUAAAUAACUUAGAAUUUUUUUUACAAAGUCUGUUGAACCAAACACUGUAAGGCAUUAAUAACCUGGUGAGUUAUUUGAGGCCUUUUUUCCUCUCCUAGAAUUUUUGCACAAUUUAUAUUUUGAAUAAUAUCAGAGACAUCCUAGUAGAGUAAUGAAUUAGUACAUUUUAUAUGCAGAUACAUAGUGAAGCCUCCUUUCUUAUGCAUAUUUGACAAAUGGACAUGUAUAUUUCUCAUCUUCCCAUAUUUUUACUCCAUUUCCACAGGUCAUGUAGACCAAAAUGUGAAUGUCAUAUGAAAGAGUUUAAACAUUGCCCUUGAAAUAUGACAGAAAGUAUCAGAAAUAAUUAUACCAUUCCAUGCUCACAGGCCAGUGGGAAUUCUCACAGUAAGCAUUUUGUCCAGAGAAUAUUCUUCUUAGGGAACUAUAACAUUCCAAUGAUAAUGGUAGUCAGCCAUGUGGCUGGAUCAUCGUUCCUGUAUCCUGGUCUCUAUGACUUAGUGUGGUGAUGGUGUCAUUGUGUCCAAGUGUGACAGAAUUGUUAGUGUGUAGUGUCUGUCUCCUAUCUCAGGCUCACAGUCCCUUUUAUAAACAUGCCUGGAUUGAUGAUGGCUUCAGUAUCUUUUGGAAAUCUGGACUGAGCAAUAGAAUUGCUUCUCUCAAAUUGAUUUCAAGUCAUAUAAAAGGCCAUGUUACACAUAUAUUGUUAAUCUGAGGGAGGCUGUGAUCAUUUAAGUUGUAUUUUAUAAACACUAGGACCACCAGUAAGAAAACAAUUCAAAAAAUAUUAAAAGAACAACCAAAGAAUUAAAAUAGAAUAACCGAAAAGAUCUGUUUAACACAAAAGAAGGCAGUUAAAGAUGAACAGAGGAACCAAUAAGACAUAUAGAAAACAGAUAGGAAAAUGACAGACAUAAACCCAGCCAUAUGACAAUUAUAUUAAAUUUUUAAGAGAUUAGGAAAUUCCGUUGUUUUUUAAACAUGAGCAACUAUACGCUGUCUACAGAAGAGACACUUUAGAACAAAAGAUACAAAUAGUUGGAAAGUAAAAAGAUGGAAAAAGCUAUAUCCAGCGAAUCCAGAAGAGAGCAGAAGUGGCUAUUCUGACAUCAGAAAAAAGAGACUUUAAGAUAAAGUAUUGCUAGAGAGGAAGAAGGAUAGUAUUUAAUGAUAGAAGGGUUAAUAUGGAAUAUGUAACAAUUACAAUCAUAUCAGCACUAACAACAGUGCCCAAAACUACAUACACUGAAAUUUAACAUGAUUGAGGGGAUCAAUAGGCAAUUCAACAAUAAAAGCUUUUGUUCAUACCCUCUUCUUAAUCAGUGAUAAGUCAAUUAGAUAGAGCAUCAUUGAGGUUACAACAUACUUCAGCAAUGUUGUCAACCAAUUUGACCUGAGAUAGAUAGAUAGACAGUUAGACAGACAGACAGACAGACAGAGAAAACUUCACCCAACAACAGAAAUACAAAUUAUUUUCAAGCAUACCUGGAACAUUCUCCAGGAUAGAGUAUAUGUUAGGCUAUAAAACUGUACUCAAUAAAUUUAAGAUUGAAACCAUGUAGAGUAUGUUGUGUGACCAUAGAGGAAUUAGAAAUCAACACAGAAAUAAAUUUGGAGGUCACAAGAUAUUUGGAAAUUAACACACUUUACAGAGCCCAUUGGUCAAAAAUAUAUAUAUUAAACUAGAAAGGCCGGGGGUGGUUGCUUACACCUGUAAUUCCAGCACUUUGGGAGGCGUAGGUGGGCACAUCACUUGAGGCCAGGAGUUCAAGACCAACCUGGGCAACAUGGCAAAACCCCAUCUCUACAAAAAAAUACAAAAAA